AACGGUCUAUACCUGCGGUACCUGCGGAGGGAUCAUUACAUGGCGGAGAAGGUGGGCAACCUGGCCAACAUCCAGGUUGUGAUGCCUUCACGCUCUUCCACCCUUGUCUAUUUGCACCUUCUGUCGUUCCCUCGGCGGGUUUCGACCCGCCGGCGGCAACAUUGAAAAACCCUUUUUGCAGUUAGCAUUCAAUUCUUCUGAUCAAAUAUUAAAUCAUUACAACUUUCAACAACGGAUCUC
RNAcentral lists this unclassified non-coding RNA (240 nucleotides) under soil metagenome. RNAcentral's name for it is "partial contains 5.8S ribosomal RNA, internal transcribed spacer 2, and large subunit ribosomal RNA". The record is from RNAcentral.